CCCCCCGAGUGAGGAAUAAGCCUGCGAAAGCGGGUCUAAUACCGCAUGACGUCCCGGGACGUAUGUCCUUGGACCAAAGCCGUAAGGCGCUUGGGGAUGAGCCUGCGUCCUAUUAGCUAGUUGGUAGGGUAACGGCCUACCAAGGCGAUGAUGGGUAGCCGGCCUGAGAGGGUGAACGGCCACACUGGAACUGAGACACGGUCCAGACUCCUACGGGAGGCAGCAGUGAGGAAUUUUGCGCAAUGGGCGAAAGCCUGACGCAGCGACGCCGCGUGGAGGAAGACGGCCUUCGGGUUGUAAACUCCUGUCAGAGGUGAAGAAUGCCCGCAAGGGCUUGACGGUAACCUCAGAGGAAGCCCCGGCUAACUACGUGCCAGCAGCCGCGGUAAUACGUAGGGGGCGAGCGUUGCUCGGAAUUACUGGGCGUAAAGGGAGUGCAGGCGGCCGGUUAAGUCGAAGAUGAAAUCCCGAGGCUCAACUUCGGAA
This 486-nucleotide ribosomal RNA is filed under the name uncultured bacterium. Its description in RNAcentral is "bacterial SSU rRNA". It matches the Rfam family "Bacterial small subunit ribosomal RNA", at positions 128 to 620 of the family's 1533-position model. The record is from RNAcentral.